UACAGAGGGGGCAAGCGUUAUUCGGAAUUAUUGGGCGUAAAGGGCGCGUAGGCGGUCUUCUAAGUCUUGUGUGAAAUCCCUCGGCUUAACUGAGGAACUGCACGGGAUACUGGAUGACUUGAGUUCGGGAGAGGGAAGCGGAAUUCCGGGUGUAGCGGUGAAAUGCGUAGAUAUCCGGAGGAACACCGGUGGCGAAGGCGGCUUCCUGGACCGACACUGACGCUGAGGCGCGAAAGCAUGGGGAGCAAAAGGG
This 253-nucleotide ribosomal RNA is filed under the name uncultured bacterium. Its description in RNAcentral is "partial 16S ribosomal RNA". It matches the Rfam family "Bacterial small subunit ribosomal RNA", at positions 524 to 776 of the family's 1533-position model. The record is from RNAcentral.